UACGAAGGGGGCUAGCGUUGCUCGGAAUUACUGGGCGUAAAGCGCACGUAGGCGGCUUCUUAAGUCGGUGGUGAAAUCCUGGAGCUCAACUCCAGAACUGCCUUCGAUACUGGGAAGCUCGAGUCCGGGAGAGGUGAGUGGAAUUCCUGGUGUAGCGGUGAAAUGCGCAGAUAUCAGGAGGAACACCGGUGGCGAAGGCGGGUCUCUGGGCCAAUACUGACGCUGAGGAGCGAAAGCGUGGGGAGCGAACAGG
RNAcentral lists this ribosomal RNA (253 nucleotides) under uncultured bacterium. RNAcentral describes it as "partial 16S ribosomal RNA". It matches the Rfam family "Bacterial small subunit ribosomal RNA", at positions 524 to 776 of the family's 1533-position model. The record is from RNAcentral.